GUCCACGCCGUAAACGAUGGGCACUAGGUGCCGGGGGGAGCGACCCCGUCGGUGCCGUAGCUAACGCGAUAAGUGCCCCGCCUGGGGAGUACGGCCGCAAGGCUGAAACUCAAAGGAAUUGACGGGGGCCCGCACAAGCGGUGGAGCAUGUGGUUUAAUUCGAAGCAACGCGAAGAACCUUACCUGGGUUUGACAUGCUGGUGAAAGCCUUGUGAAAGCAGGGCCCUCCUUCGGGACACCAGCACAGGUGCUGCAUGGCUGUCGU
RNAcentral lists this ribosomal RNA (265 nucleotides) under uncultured bacterium. Its description in RNAcentral is "partial 16S ribosomal RNA". It matches the Rfam family "Bacterial small subunit ribosomal RNA", at positions 793 to 1055 of the family's 1533-position model. The record is from RNAcentral.